UACGGAGGAUUCAAGCGUUAUCCGGAUUUACUGGGUGUAAAGGGAGCGUAGACGGUGAAGCAAGUCUGAAGUGAAAGGCGGGGGCUCAACCCCCGGACUGCUUUGGAAACUGUUUGACUGGAGUGCAGGAGAGGUAAGUGGAAUUCCUAGUGUAGCGGUGAAAUGCGUAGAUAUUAGGAGGAACACCAGUGGCGAAGGCGGCUUGCUGGACGAUGACUGACGGUGAGGCGCGAAAGCGUGGGGAGCAAACAGG
This 253-nucleotide ribosomal RNA is filed under the name uncultured Eubacteriales bacterium. Its description in RNAcentral is "uncultured Clostridiales bacterium partial 16S ribosomal RNA". It matches the Rfam family "Bacterial small subunit ribosomal RNA", at positions 524 to 776 of the family's 1533-position model. Lineage: Bacteria; Bacillati; Bacillota; Clostridia; Eubacteriales. The record is from RNAcentral.